Long non-coding RNA from Protopterus annectens (West African lungfish), 5716 nucleotides. RefSeq lists it as uncharacterized. The transcript is spliced from 2 exons. The record is from RefSeq and is a predicted model, not a curated record. Lineage: Eukaryota; Metazoa; Chordata; Ceratodontiformes; Protopteridae.
UAUAUAUAUAUAUAUAUAUAUAUAUAUUAUUUUGGGGGAAUCCCAGAGCAGUUGAUGAUGCAGGCUGAGGGUACAUUUUUUUCUUUGAUCUCUCAUCUUUGUUUAGGAAUGCAUCUUGGCCUAUACCCUUUGUUUUUUACUAAGGGGUACAGAAUGCCUCUUAGAUCCCCGUUUUUUUCCGUCAUUCCCUUAUUUUGGAUCUUAUCCGUCACGUGAUACAAAUCAUGAUUUCCAUCAUUUUCAUAGUUUGUAAAACAUUUGACAGUUGAAUGCUGUGAUUAUGGGACUCUAUUCCAAUCAUACUUUGUUAGAAAGUUUAGUAUCUAAAAAAGCAGAAGUAGGAAAUCUGCAUGCAGUCAGUACUGCUUUAUGAACUAAGAGAACUUCUUGAGAAAACCACAAGAACUGCCUUUUUGCAUAGAUAAUAUAAUGUCUACUGCCAAUAUUUCAACUCUUGAUUUGACAGAAUCAUUGAGGGAAUCUUUUAACCUUCCUCUGUGUCCAGCUCUUAGCAGUGAGUAAGCAAGCCCAGCACAGGGACUAGCCACAUGGUAUAUAUGAAGAUCCCAUGCAGGAUAAAGAAAUGCAGAGUUUACGUCAUAGCCUGGAAUACACUGCUUUUAUAAGUUCACUUUACGUAUGUGGCCUCCACUGCUUUAUGAGCAUGAUUGUCAACUAUUGACUGUGGGUGUGUGGCUGAAUGAGGUGGUGCCUUCCAGUACUUACGGUUGGAUAUGAGAUUCAGAAUGUGCUGCUGCCUCCCUUUACUCAUUUCGGUAAGGCCCCUAGUCUCUGAGGCAUGUGUUUUAGUUUGCUUUGGCUUGGGAAAUUGACUCCCUACAGCUCUUCCCCUCUCUGAUUGAUUGGCCUGUAACUGUUGAGGUUUGAAAUAGUCCCCAUAAGCCCUCCUUUAGUGUUUUUUGUUUCCUGAGCUGACCCUGUCCUCUCACUGGAUAGUUAAGUGCAUGGUAGUUGUUGCUAAGUGGGUUCUCAGAGCUCAAAUCAGUAGUUUGGCCUGUGCUAAGUGGGUGCUCAGAGCUCAAAUCAGUAGUUUGGCCUGUUAGCCUUUCAUGUGACGCCAUCACACAUUUACUGUGCAUCUUCUGUUAGUUUGUUUGGCCAGAGUGCAGGAAGUGUGCAAGUGCUGGUCCCAGGAGGCUAGCUAGAGGUUGCCACCUCCACUGUCUUCCAAUUACUAAGCUGUGGACAAAUCUGAGGAGAUUGAGAUUCCUUUGUUGUAGACUCAACAUGAUAAUGAAGCUUCCUUGUUUGAAGCAGCAUUUAAAUUCUUGAGAUGCACCUUUCUGUUUCAUUAUGUCCUUGUUUUUUUUACCUCAGAGAAAAGAACAUUAAUGCAUUUCUUACACAGAAAGGAAUAAAGCUUUUAGUUUUACCUACCUUGCUUGCUAUCAUUAGACAGUAUCAUGUUAAUGUUUGGAAGCAUUUGGGUUCAAGUAUUUCCAUGCCUGAGAUCUCAGACCAUUUGUAGUAGCUGUCCCAAAAUGAUUUUUCCUUCUCACCAGGCACCUCAGGGCAGAUCCUUAACUUACAUUAAUGCAUAGAAUACAUCCCAGAAACUCAGCAUUUCAUCAGUCUUCUAAUGGAGGGAGAAAACAUGUGCAAAUGAGCUUUGCAAUAUGAUUUAUAUUUCUGGUACUGUGAGUCUUGUGGCUCUUAACUAUUUGCUGUAUGUGUUUUAUUUCCCAGAUUUGGUUGAUAAACACAUGGGAAAAAGUCAUCAUUAGUUCCUCAUUUAGAUGAGAUGGAAGCUGUAGAGAAAGUCCUUAAUACACUGUCUGUAGUCAGGUCCCACAGAAGCUGUUAUUUCUUUAAUGCAGUGGAUGCACCUGCACUUACUGAUCCCCAGCACCUGCCUGUAGGGCAAAUCAGCACUCAUUCAAUGAGGUGUGCAGCAGCAUAUCUGAUAUACCCAUUUUAUGACAAGGUGCAUUUUGGUGAUUUCUCUUUGAUAAUCUCCAAAAGAAUGAUGAGGACUGUUGAGGAUAUUUUAAGCCGCACUUCUUUGUGUCAUGAUUUCUGGAGAAGGAAAAGAGCCAAACGUUAAAGGAGACCUUCUAGGCAGCAAACCGUCCUUUCCUUCCCUGUCCUUCUUUGAGAACUUUAUCCCAUUUGGCCAUUUACCUAUACUGACUGACUGUUUUGGCUCAUUUCCUAGAGGAAGGCUCAGAUCACCUUAAUGUGCCCUGUUUGCCCUUUAGUUUGUGGCAUUUUCCCCUUGUUACAACCAUGUGUGACAUGGAGAAUGAUCUGGUUUGCCCCCCCCCAAAAAAUAGCCCUAUUUGAAAGGCUUAUUGAUGUUGCACUACUGCUGUGCAUUGUAGCUAGUGACUGGGUCCUGUUGCACUACUGCUCGACAUUGUAGCCAGUGACUGGAUCCUGUGCACUACUGUUGUGUAUUGUAGCCAGGGACUGAAUCCUGUUGCACUACUGCUGUGUAUUGUAGCCAGGGACUGAGUCCUGUUGUGUAUUGUAGCCAGUGACUGGGUCCCACUGGUCUACUGUUGUGCAUUGUAGCCAGUGACUUGGUCCCAUUGCACUACUGCUGUGUAUUGUAGCCAGUGACUGGAUCCUGUUGCUCUAUUGUUGUGUAUUGUAGCCAGUGAUGGAGUCCUGUUGCACUGCUGUUGUGUAUUGUAGCCAGUGACUGGGUUCCAGUGCUCUACUGUUGUGCAUUGUAGCCAGUGACUGGAUCCUGUUGCACUACUGUUGUGCAUUGUAGCCAGUGACUAGGUCCUGUUGCACUACUGUUGUGUAUUAUAGCCAGUGACUGGGUCCUAUUGCACUACUGUUGUGCAUUGUAGCUAAUGACUGGGUCCCAAUACUCUACUGUUGUGCAUUGUAGCCAGUGAGUGGGUCCUGUUGCACUACUGCUGUGUAUUGUAGCCAAUGACUGGGUCCCUUUGAAGUAAGGAUGCCGAGGAGGAGUGUUACAAGGAAUGCUUGGUAUUCUUAUCAGAGUCUGUCUCAGAAACAUGACCUUGUAGAGAGAGAUGUCUACAGCAUGUCUUUAUACAACUUGGUUAUAAAAUUGUCCAUCUUGAAACAGGCUACUUUUAUGGUUUUAAAGGGACAGUAACAGCAACUGUUGCUUGCAUUUACCUUAGGUGUAUAGGGACAGCAUCUGAUGAGAAGUACAUUUUUAAAUUCAGGGCUCGUAACCCACAGACAGGAGUUAGCAUAGUAACGGUAAUAUCAGUAAGUUGAUUACAGCAAAGUAACCUGGGAACUGUGAUACUUGGAUUCUUAAACAGCUGCUGGCGGUGAGUUACAGUCCUGUUAAGUCUCAGCAAAGGGCUGUACUACUACAGAUUUGUGAAAAGGGUUUUUAUAAACGGCUGUACCACUACAGAUUUGUGAAAAGUGUUUUUACAAAGGGAUGUACUGCUACAGAUUUGUGAAAAAGGUUUUACAAAUGGCUGUACCACUACAGAUUUGUGAAAAGUGUUUUUACAAAGGGAUGUACUGCUACAGAUUUGUGAAAAGUAUUCUAAAGUAUGAGCACAGUCUGUGUUAUUUCAUGUCUUUUGUUUGAAAAAUGGUCAAUGUAUGUGCAUUUUGUCUUAAUGUGGUAUCAUUUAAAGCAAGUUUUGUACAGUGUGUGUGCAUGCGUACAUACACAGUUUUUCCAGAGGUGAGCACCCUCUCAUUAGGGUUGUGGUACAUGCACUUGUUAGGUAUAUAAGGUAUUCCACAGAACAAUUAUCAUCUCCUUUUCACUGCAGUCUCAUCUCUUUAUACAGACUCUCAUGCUUAUGAGUAGGGGUGUGCUGAUAUUCUGUUUUUCUGUGAAAAUACCCAUAAAUCCUUAAUUUGGAAUUUCUGAGUAUGGGGGGAGGGCACAGGAUUUUUCAUGGAAUUUGUCAUUUUAGGCUAGACCACUCAUUCACAAUAACUUGUUUUUUCCUCCUAUUUUCUACAUAUAGUACUGUCAGUUUGCAUAUUGUACAUUCUUUACUUGUCUAUUUUAAUUUUGAAAGCACAGAUGCACUAACAAAAUUUAUAAUGGAGUUAGAGCAAUGACUGGAAAUUUAAAAAAUCGUAAGUCCUGGCAUUCAUCCCUGCUUAUGAAAACUUAUGAUUUUUCAUGAAGUUGUAGAAAACCAUGUUUGAAUUUAUAUUUACAGGUGAUACUAAGGAAUAGCCACAUAGUGGUUUACAGGUGAUACUAAGGAAUAGCCACAUAGUGGUUUACAGGUGAUACUACGGAAUAGCCACACAGUGGUUUACAGGUGAUACUACGGAAUAGCCACACAGUGGUUUACAGGUAAUAGUAAGGAAUGCCACACAGUGACUGUAAUGGUGAGAUAAUGACUUUAUCCAUUCUGAUAGAACAUCUAUGCAGCCCACUGAAUUGCUACUGGAAAUCUGCUUAUGAAGAGUGCCAACUACGUCUAUUGGAGUUGAGACAGAUUCUUUAAUAAUCCUGCCUUACAGUCCUGGAAAGUGCCAACUUUAAGCAAGGAAAAUCUGCAAGUUUUGCUUGUUUGCUGCUAUCCAGAAAUCUCCCAAUGGUGAUGGUCAUCACUGCAAAGUCAGUGUUUUCACAUGACACAGGGGACCUCUGCAAAGAGGUGCAUACAACAUGCCAGUGUCAUAUAUCCCUGGAUUGACUCUUAGAGCACAGGCCCUGUCAUUGCCAUUCUGACACCAGAACAUUGCAAUUAAGUGUUAGAGUCCAGAAACUAUGUUUACAGUAUUGAACAGCAGUUGCAUUAUCAAUUCUACAAGCUUUCAAUCAAGCCCUCUAGUCAGUACUACUUCUCUUCCAAGUUCCCAAGUGGCAGGUACUAAUGCUUAUAGUAUGAUUUAAACUGAGCACAAAAGCUGCAGUUGACUGAAGCCAGAUCAGUUGAAGCAAUGCAGGUGUGUAGUUCUUUGUUUUGAACUGUGAACACUAAUGAGAACCUGGGAAACACUUUCCACAAAUGAAUGAAGGGUUUGUUAGGUCAUGUGUUCGUAUGAACACCAGACACAUGGAAAUACUGUUUGUUGCAUCUUGUAUACAGUGGAGUAGUUACAAAGUGUAAAAAAGGAAGGGCGAGUGUGUAAACACCUGGGCUGACACUAUCUCCAUUUGGUUGUGUUUUGAAAACAUUUAUGUGUACUGUUGUCUUCUAUUUGACUUUCACGUUUUGUCAGUAAUUUAUGCAGGUCAUAUUUAACUUUUGGCUACAGAUUUCAUCUACCUGCACUGUAAUACGAUUCUAUUUUGUAAAAUAUUGUUUACGAAGAGUCAACAUCUGUUAGCUCCAUAGGACAUGUAAUGCUUGUAUGUAUUUUGUUUGUAUUUUGUAAUUUAUUUGGAAAAUAAAACAAGUUUGUGUUGAACCGUAGAUGAAAUAAAUUGGUUUAAAUGCACUGCAUUUAGAAGUUUGAACAUUUGAAGUACUGUAUUAUAUUCUGUACAAAUCCUUAUACUUUAAGCAGUAAGCUUUCUUAUCUAGGAAGCAUCUUAUGAUCCAUAAUAUGAUGGUAGUGAAAUAACACUAACUCACUGGUGUACCUGUGUAUACACAGGGUAAGCCAUGGUGUACAGGUUUUUAAGGGGCCAAAAUUUCAACCAGCACAGGGGCACUAAGUGUCUCUGUUUUGGACACAAAAGUAAAAUUAUAAGAGUACAAGAAGAUAAAUUUGUCCAUAUUGAAAUAUGCUUUUUAUAUUACAAUUUAUCCAAAUAAAGCUUUUAUUAAUCUUA